Engraulis encrasicolus (European anchovy) is the source of this 482-nucleotide long non-coding RNA. RefSeq lists it as uncharacterized. The transcript is spliced from 3 exons. Lineage: Eukaryota; Metazoa; Chordata; Actinopteri; Clupeiformes; Engraulidae. The record is from RefSeq and is a predicted model, not a curated record.
UUUAACUGGGGGCGUUGGCGUCAGGUGACUGUCGGGCACCAAUUGCCCAUUGUGCUCUGUUUUAAAAGUUGGCACCUGUUGCUGGAGGUAGGAGGCAUGCUACCGCUUGUGGCGGUUUUAGUUAAGAUGGUUGUUUGCCAGCUUUAGUCAACCAUAGGACUUGGCACUUCGCCUUAAUAUGGCAAUUUGCGCGUGGUGCGCAUUGGUCACUGUGGUGUGACUCGUAAAAGACGUUGUGGUUGUGAGCGUCCUUUCAAGCGCUGGCUAUCCCCUGCCCUUUGUCAUGGAAAUUGUGUGGGUCUCGUGAAUGACUUCUCCUCCUGCCGUGCGUGAACGUGCCCAUCUGUCUUGGUGCCGUGGGUCUCCACUUGGGGCUGUCCGCGGGCUGCUGCUUCGCCCUGUAGUUGCCGUAGAGGAUAUUUAGUGCUUGUGUGUGUGUGUGUGUGCAGGUGUGCGUGACAUUUUUCAUUUGCUUUGUCCAG